RNAcentral lists this small nuclear RNA (99 nucleotides) under Ochotona princeps (American pika). Lineage: Eukaryota; Metazoa; Chordata; Mammalia; Lagomorpha; Ochotonidae. The record is from RNAcentral.
GUGCUCACUUUGGCAGCACAUAUACUAAAACUGGAAUGAUACUGAGAAGAUUAGCAUGGCCCUUGCACAAGGAUGACACAGAAAUAUAAAUUUGAUUAU